Molecule: small nuclear RNA, 95 nt
Organism: Ictidomys tridecemlineatus (thirteen-lined ground squirrel)
Lineage: Eukaryota; Metazoa; Chordata; Mammalia; Rodentia; Sciuridae
Source: Ensembl
GUACUCACUAUGGCAGCAUAUAUACUAAAACUGGACCCAUACGGAGAAGAUUAGCAUAGUCCCUGUGCAAAAUUCAUGAAGCAUUCCAUAUAUUU